CGGAGGCAGCAGUGGGGAAUUUUUCGCAAUGGGGGCAACCCUGACGAAGCAACGCCGCGUGGGUGAUGAAGUAUCUCGGUACGUAAAACCCUUUCGACGGGGAAGAAACCGCAAGGUUGACGGUACCCGUAGAAGAAGCCCCGGCUAACUCCGUGCCAGCAGCCGCGGUAAUACGGGGGGGGCAAGCGUUGUUCGGAAUUACUGGGCGUAAAGGGCGCGUAGGCGGUUUGCUAAGUUGACUGUGAAAACUCUGGGCUUAACCCAGAGCCUGCAUUCAAUACUGGCAGGCUAGAGUUCUGGAGGGGAUAGCGGAAUUCCUGGUGUAGCGGUGAAAUGCGUAGAUAUCAGGAGGAACACCGGUGGCGAAGGCGGCUAUCUGGACAGAGUCUGACGCUGAGGCGCGAAAGCUAGGGGAGCAAACAGGAUUAGAUACCCCGGUAGG
This 442-nucleotide ribosomal RNA is filed under the name uncultured bacterium. Its description in RNAcentral is "bacterial SSU rRNA". It matches the Rfam family "Bacterial small subunit ribosomal RNA", at positions 343 to 794 of the family's 1533-position model. The record is from RNAcentral.